Crotalus tigris (Tiger rattlesnake) is the source of this 495-nucleotide long non-coding RNA. RefSeq lists it as uncharacterized. The transcript has 4 exons. Lineage: Eukaryota; Metazoa; Chordata; Lepidosauria; Squamata; Viperidae. The record is from RefSeq and is a predicted model, not a curated record.
UCCCGAGUCGCAGAGGGAUGCAGUGCGCAGGCUGAGGUGGGCUCAUGGUCUCGGAUGGUGAAGAACAUCUCCUCCUAUCCCGUCUGGCCAGCAUUCCCAUGGUCAUGUGAUCAACAUGAAGGAUCUUCAUUUGCAACUUUCCGAACCGGCUUCUGACAAGCAAAGUCAAUGGGGAAAACUGGAUUCGCUUAACGACCGCAUGUUUCACUUAACUGCAGUGAUUUCCUUAACAACUGUGGGAAAAUAGGUCAUAAAAUCAGUCUUUAUUGCAGUAAUCAGAACAUUGACACUUGAGGCUUAGAAGGUGGCACUGGAGACAGUAUUCUCCUGGAGCUUUUGCACCGAACUAUUUUAGUGAGAGAUCUGAUUGGUGAAACAAGAAGGCACACUAGACCAGUGAUGGGCAACCUUUUCGGCGUGGUGUGUCAAAAUUUGGCAAAAAAUCGAGCAUAACUCACGUGGUGUGUCACUUCGACAAAAAAACAUAAUUUUGCG